GCCCAUAUAGCUCAGCGGCAGAGCACUUCCUUGGUAAGGAAGAGGUCGGCGGUUCAAUUCCGCUUAUGGGCUCCA
RNAcentral lists this transfer RNA (75 nucleotides) under Thiovulum sp. ES. RNAcentral describes it as "tRNA-Thr". It matches the Rfam family "tRNA". From Rfam's summary of the family: Transfer RNA (tRNA) molecules are approximately 80 nucleotides in length. Their secondary structure includes four short double-helical elements and three loops (D, anti-codon, and T loops). Further hydrogen bonds mediate the characteristic L-shaped molecular structure. tRNAs have two regions of fundamental functional importance: the anti-codon, which is responsible for specific mRNA codon recognition, and the 3' end, to which the tRNAs corresponding amino acid is attached (by aminoacyl-tRNA synthetases). tRNAs cope with the degeneracy of the genetic code in two manners: having more than one tRNA (with a specific anti-codon) for a particular amino acid; and 'wobble' base-pairing, i.e. permitting non-standard base-pairing at the 3rd anti-codon position. The record is from RNAcentral. Lineage: Bacteria; Pseudomonadati; Campylobacterota; Epsilonproteobacteria; Campylobacterales; Sulfurimonadaceae.